GACGAACCGAGCGAACGUUGUUCGGAAUAACUGGGCUUAAAGGGCGCGUAGGCGGGCUGUCAAGUUUGGGGUGAAAUCCCGCGGCUCAACCGCGGAACUGCCUCAAAUACUGACGGUCUCGAGGGAGGUAGGGGCGAGCGGAACUGAUGGUGGAGCGGUGAAAUGCGUUGAUAUCAUCAGGAACUCCGGUGGCGAAGGCGGCUCGCUGGACCUCUUCUGACGCUGAGGCGCGAAAGCCAGGGGAGCAAACGGG
Molecule: ribosomal RNA, 253 nt
Filed under: uncultured bacterium
Lineage: Bacteria
Description: partial 16S ribosomal RNA
Rfam family: Bacterial small subunit ribosomal RNA
Source: RNAcentral